UUAUUUUUCACCCAAUCACAGUCCGCAGUCUUUGAGCGACACGUCCAGCCGCCAAUCAGAUUCCUAUAUGUGUCCACAUCGUCAACCGGUAUUUCCUGUUAGUCAUAUUGAAGUUUCGACUUUGUGGUGGCGCCUUCCACAAGCAGUGACCAUUGUCGAGAGAGGAGGCACAACGCUAGCGAACCAUGGUGAAGAUUUUCAUCGGGAAUCUGUCUCAGCACGCGACGAAGGAGGAAGUCGAGGCUCUGUUUACUCAGCACGGCACAGUGACGGAAUGUGCCAAGUACAAAAACUAUGCGUUCGUGCACAUGGAGGACCGCAAGGCCGCCACCAAAGCCAUCCGCGAGCUCCAUCUCUACAAGCUGGGCGGCCGGCCCAUCAAUGUGGAGCUCAGCCGAGGCAAGGGCCAGGGCCCCGUGAAGCUACACGUCGCCAACGUGGAGAGGGGGGCCGACGACGAGCUCCGCGCGCUUUUCGAGGAGUACGGCAUGGUCACGGAGUGUGCCAUCGUCAAAGACUUUGCCUUUGUGCACAUGGCCAAUUCCGACGAGGCCAUGGAUGCCAUUAAAGGCCUGGAUAACGCAGAGUUUCAAGGGAAGCGCAUACAUGUUCAGAUUUCAAAAAGCAGACCCAGGGGGCCACCCGAGGAGGAUGCCUAUCCACCGCCGCCCGGCAGAGGAGGCUUUUACCCCCCGCGCUUCCCGGGUCCAGGGAUGGGGCCCGAGCCUCCCUACAGAGGCCGUAUGUCCGAUUAUCCGCCUCCACCUCCGCCACCGCCUCCCCCGAGACGAGCAGCGUAUCCCGACAGCGGCUACGGCGAGGGAGAUGGCUACGGGGUGGUCGAUUACUACGAGAAAUUCAGGGCCCGUCCUUUUAGCGGCGCGAGCUAUGAUGACAGGCGCGCCAUCCCUCCUCCUCCGCCUCCUUCCUCUGCACUGGUUAGAGAACGCCUCGGAAUGGGGCCCCCUGACCCGUAUGAGCGGCGCCCGCUUCUGCAUGCGCCUCCCUCCUACAUGGCCAGAGACCGGAGCCCUAUCAGACGUGCCCCCCUACCACCUGCCCCGUCCACGGGUAACGGGUUCUCCUACGAGCGAUCUCAGCUCUCUCCGAUGCCCCGAGCGCCGAUGUAUGCAGCUCCCCAUCCCAGGGACUCCUUUUCAGAGAGAGCGCUGCCGCCACCGCCGCCGCCACCACCUCACUAUGCAGGCUACUAGGCAUCUGAGAAUCUAAUACAAGGUUGUUAGACUCUAUGCAGGAGAUCCCAGCCUCAUGGUAAGUCGUCCCUGGAAGACAUCCAGCAUCCUGAAGGAAGAGGCUCGCCUCUGCUUGUGUGAUGACCAUGAUGCGUCUCGAUUUGAAUUCACAGAACCUGAUGGGACUGGCCGCUCCCGUGGCCAUAGGAAGUGGAAUGUUCCAGUUAAGUCGUCAGAGAACCUGUUCGGUUGCAUCUUGAUGCCUUGUGGCAAGUGACACCAGUAGAAUACGGUUGGACUUAAACUUGAAAAACAGACUGUAAAAAAAACCGAACAGUAGUUCAACCCCAUCUGUUCCAGUUAUGAAAUAUACAGACAUGCUUAUUCUGCAGUGACCAACAUCAUGAUUUGUCUCUUUUUAAAGGAGAAACCAACGGUCUAUAGGUUAUUGUAGGGAAAAAUCAAAAUGCAAAAAACAGAGGAUGCAGCCGCAUGGACAUUUUAGCUAUUCCUCUUUUACUUACCCAUAGUUCUGCCUCUUUUACAAUCAUGAAAAUUGGUAUUGUAUGAUUGUUUUUAUAUGAAUAUCUUGUUUUCACAUUGUUGUACUAAAACUUUUACUUAAGUAAAUACUUUUUACCACUUCUUCCAACUGUGAAAAACCUCAACACUGAGUAAAUAUAUUUAGUUACAUUCCACCACUGACUGAAUAAGCAGUAAUUCAGUAGGCAGAGCACCAGAAAUGGAAUAUUUCAAUGAAUUUAUGAUGAUGACUUUACAUAGAACGUUAAAACAUUUUAAAGAUAUGAAUUGUGUUGCAUGAGAAUACAUGUUCCAUUUUGUUCUUGAGUAUAUCUUUUUUCUUUUCACACCUUGCACUUUUUCUCACAUAGUAGAUUGAGGAAUAAAGACACCUUUAAAUAUU
Molecule: RNA transcript, 2118 nt
Organism: Scophthalmus maximus (turbot)
Lineage: Eukaryota; Metazoa; Chordata; Actinopteri; Pleuronectiformes; Scophthalmidae
Gene name: RNA-binding protein 4B
Exons: 6
Source: RefSeq, a predicted model, not a curated record